CAGGAAGGCCCCGUCUCUGAAUCGGAUGAGGAAACAGGUUUUGCCGACGCCCGAGUCUCCCAGAAGCAUCACCUAGGAGGGCCACCCACAGAAGGAACCAGGCCCAGAGAGCUGACUUAAACUCUCCCAGGUUGGGGUACCAGUGCCUAACCGCUCCCAUCAUUCUCAGGGUCUAAAAAUUCCCAGAUCCCUGGACGUUGGCGUGGGCCCCGGGGGCUGUCUCGACCCUCCCCCGCUUACUCUGAGAAGACCCGGG
Molecule: long non-coding RNA, 256 nt
Organism: Odocoileus virginianus texanus
Lineage: Eukaryota; Metazoa; Chordata; Mammalia; Artiodactyla; Cervidae
Source: RefSeq, a predicted model, not a curated record